RNAcentral lists this transfer RNA (84 nucleotides) under Chloroflexota bacterium. Its description in RNAcentral is "Chloroflexi bacterium (sediment metagenome) tRNA-Leu". It matches the Rfam family "tRNA". From Rfam's summary of the family: Transfer RNA (tRNA) molecules are approximately 80 nucleotides in length. The record is from RNAcentral. Lineage: Bacteria; Bacillati; Chloroflexota.
GGGGCGGUGGCGGAACAGGCAGACGCAGGGGACUUAAAAUCCUCCGGAGGUGACUCCUUGUGGGUUCGAUUCCCACCCGCCCCA